Molecule: non-coding RNA, 355 nt
Organism: Pelobates cultripes (western spadefoot toad)
Lineage: Eukaryota; Metazoa; Chordata; Amphibia; Anura; Pelobatidae
Source: the annotation of a GenBank genome assembly
AUGAGAUUGCGAACAGGAGGGGGGAAAGGGGACAGCCCUGUCUAGUCCCGUUCGCGAUGGUGAACGUCUGUGCUACGGUGUUUGGUAGUAGGAGUCGCCCAGUGGGGUGGUCGUAAAUUGUAGUGAGCAUGUUUAGGAACCCGUCCGAGAAUCCCUGGUGCCUCAGCACGCUGAACAGGUAGGGCCAGAGAAGGCGGUCGAAAGCCUUCUCUGCGUCCAAUGAGAGCGCCACCGUCGGGAUGUUCCGAUGUUGGGCGUACCAGAUAGUAUUGUAGACCCUCCUCGUGUUAUCGGCCGCUUGUCUCUUGGGAAUGAAACCAACCUGGUCAGGGUGAAUCAAAUUAGGCAGGAAGGC